CAGUACCGCGGUAAUACGAAGGGGGCUAGCGUUGUUCGGAUUUACUGGGCGUAAAGGGUGCGUAGGCGGAUUGUUAAGUCAGGGGUGAAAUCCCGAGGCUCAACCUCGGAACUGCCUUUGAUACUGGCGAUCUUGAGUCCGGGAGAGGUGAGUGGAACUGCGAGUGUAGAGGUGAAAUUCGUAGAUAUUCGCAAGAACACCAGUGGCGAAGGCGGCUCACUGGCCCGGAACUGACGCUGAGGCACGACAGCGUGGGGAGCAAACAGGAUUAGAUACCCCAGUAGUCCCUGUCUCUUAUACA
Molecule: ribosomal RNA, 301 nt
Filed under: uncultured bacterium
Lineage: Bacteria
Description: partial 16S ribosomal RNA
Rfam family: Bacterial small subunit ribosomal RNA
Source: RNAcentral